RNAcentral lists this ribosomal RNA (433 nucleotides) under uncultured bacterium. RNAcentral describes it as "partial 16S ribosomal RNA". It matches the Rfam family "Bacterial small subunit ribosomal RNA", at positions 29 to 507 of the family's 1533-position model. The record is from RNAcentral.
AGCGAACGCUGGCGGCAGGCCUAACACAUGCAAGUCGAACGAACUCUUCGGAGUUAGUGGCGGACGGGUGUGUAACACGUGGGAACGUGCCUUUAGGUUCGGAAUAACUCAGGGAAACUUGAGCUAAUACCGGAUGUGCCCUUCGGGGGAAAGAUUUAUCGCCUUUAGAGCGGCCCGCGUCUGAUUAGCUAGUUGGUGAGGUAAAGGCUCACCAAGGCGACGAUCAGUAGCUGGUCUGAGAGGAUGAUCAGCCACAUUGGGACUGAGACACGGCCCAAACUCCUACGGGAGGCAGCAGUGGGGAAUCUUGCGCAAUGGGCGAAAGCCUGACGCAGCCAUGCCGCGUGAAUGAUGAAGGUCUUAGGAUUGUAAAAUUCUUUCACCGGGGACGAUAAUGACGGUACCCGGAGAAGAAGCCCCGGCUAACUUCGUG